AUGAUGGCCGGUCAUAGUUUAGUAAAGAUUUUAAGUGGGUUUGCUUGGACUAUGCUAUUUCUGAAUAAUAUUUUCUAUUUCAUAGGAGAUCUUGGUCCCUUAUUUAUAGUUCUAGCAUUAACCGGUCUGGAAUUAGGUGUAGCUAUAUCACAAGCUCAUGUUUCUACGAUUUCAAUUUGUAUUUACUUGAAUGAUGCUACAAAUCUCCAUGAAAAUGAGUCAUUUCAUAAUUGA
This 234-nucleotide ribosomal RNA is filed under the name Triticum aestivum (bread wheat). Its description in RNAcentral is "partial small subunit ribosomal RNA". The record is from RNAcentral. Lineage: Eukaryota; Viridiplantae; Streptophyta; Magnoliopsida; Poales; Poaceae.